Molecule: long non-coding RNA, 207 nt
Filed under: Mustela putorius furo (domestic ferret)
Lineage: Eukaryota; Metazoa; Chordata; Mammalia; Carnivora; Mustelidae
Description: lncRNA (ENSMPUG00000027413.1)
Source: RNAcentral
CAGAGUGUUCCUGGAGCAAAUCUGUAGACUCUAAAUAUUCUCCAGCAGAUUGUAAAUUUUGGAUAUGGUGCUAGCAAAGAGAAGAAAGGAAAGCAGCAAAUUGGGUGACCGAAAAUUGUGUUCAAACCUAGUAUGUACAUGGUAUGGAGAUUUCCAUUUUUAAAAAAAGAAUCUUCAGUAGAUAAUAAAAUUGAAGUAUAUGCCCUG